This is a long non-coding RNA of Canis lupus familiaris (dog), 1087 nucleotides long. RefSeq lists it as uncharacterized. The transcript has 6 exons. NCBI's taxonomy places the organism in Eukaryota, Metazoa, Chordata, Mammalia, Carnivora, Canidae. The record is from RefSeq and is a predicted model, not a curated record.
GCAGACUCUUGAGUUUAGUAGUGAUACUAAGGGCACUAUUGAGUGAGUAGGGAGCUGCCAAAUAGAAUCAACUCCUGUAACAGAUGCUCUCAGUUGAAAGAAGUAAAUGCAAAACUGUAAGAGAAAUAACUUUCCAGCACAGAAGCCUCGAGGCCCUUGAGGAUAGAUGAUGCCAGAAAAAUGUGAGAUUAUUGUGCCUGCCAGAGUAUAUUAAUACUAUAAAUAUAGCUAAUUUCCUGAGGAACAAGAUCCUUGAAAAUGUACCAGAUGUAUGAUGCUGAAUAUCAAGUCAAACAGCAGAGACAGAAUGAAUCUCCAUCUUCAUUAAAGUUAGAGAUUGCCAUCCAGUAGUUCAAGAGCUGUAUGUUCAGUUCCUGUCACAUAAUUAGAAAUAUCUGUUUAUCUGAAGUUACGAUGGGAUGUGAUACGACAGUGCGAAUUUGAUUGGUCAUGGCUUAGACAGAGACCAUGGUGACAUCUGGAAGUUCUGACCAAAAGCCUCAGCGAUACCUGGUGAUUUGUGGAGAGGGAUGCUGUGGACACAAGCAUUGCUUCCAGGAUAUUCUAAUGACAGUGCGUGUUAGAAAAAUGCCUGGUGGCUCCACCACUACUCAUGGUAGUUCAAGAAGGAGAGAGAGACAGACACAGACACAGAGACAUGGAGAGACUGAGGUUCACAGCCUGAGUCCUGCCACUGCCCAGGUCCAUAACCUUUAGGAGGUCACACACAAAGACAUAUUCAAUUAUUGCAUUCGGUGGUAGUAAACUUUUGACCAACUCUCAGCAAUCCAUGAUGUGUGCGAUGGGAGUGCUUAAUAAAUGCUGAGCCUAGCUUCCAAAGCACCCAGGCUCCUCCUGGAUUCUAAUUUCCUCCCUUCUGGAAAAUUAACAAAGGAAAAACAAUUCAAAUGAAACACAGUCUUGUGACUUUAAUGCUCAUCAAACAAUUUGCUGGUAAGAGGAGUCUAGUUCUAAGAUAAAUCGCUGGUGUGACAGCUCUCUAAUUGAUCAAUUGACCUCUUGACAGAAUCCAAGGAAGAAAUAUACCCUCCUUCAAAUAUACGUUCAGAGUUUCCAUGGCAUUUUC